AUGGACGUGUUCAUCCACGAGGACUACGUGAACAAGCGCAACAUGGUGAGGAGGGAGCAGAGGAUGAAGAUGCAGAUGCAGCUUGGCAGCCCAGGCGCGUGCCGGCCGCCGCCGGCGCACGGGGAAGACAGCCCGGGAGCGGGAGCGCCGAGGCAGUGCCUGACGCCAACCGGCAUCUCACCGUCGUCCAUCAUCAGGUCUCCGUUAUCAGGCUCGUCGGAGGAAGCCGUCUCAUCGGAUCACCGCCGCCUCUUCGAUUGCCUGAGGCCGUACUAG
This 276-nucleotide ribosomal RNA is filed under the name Triticum aestivum (bread wheat). RNAcentral's name for it is "partial small subunit ribosomal RNA". The record is from RNAcentral. Lineage: Eukaryota; Viridiplantae; Streptophyta; Magnoliopsida; Poales; Poaceae.